GUCUCUGUCGAGCAAUGGAUAGCGCGUUGGAUAUGUAAUUCAAAGGUCGUGAGUUCGAUUCCCACCUGGGAUG
Non-coding RNA from Trichonephila inaurata madagascariensis, 73 nucleotides. The record is from the annotation of a GenBank genome assembly. NCBI's taxonomy places the organism in Eukaryota, Metazoa, Arthropoda, Arachnida, Araneae, Nephilidae.